Molecule: ribosomal RNA, 449 nt
Filed under: uncultured bacterium
Lineage: Bacteria
Description: partial 16S ribosomal RNA
Rfam family: Bacterial small subunit ribosomal RNA
Source: RNAcentral
AACGAACGCUGGCGGCAUGCCUAACACAUGCAAGUCGAACGAGAUCUUCGGGUCUAGUGGCGCACGGGUGCGUAACGCGUGGGAAUCUGCCCUUUGGUUCGGAAUAACAGUUGGAAACGACUGCUAAUACCGGAUGAUGACGAAAGUCCAAAGAUUUAUCGCCAGAGGAUUAGCCCGCGUAGGAUUAGCUAGUUGGUGUGGUAAAGGCGCACCAAGGCGACGAUCCUUAGCUGGUCUGAGAGGAUGAUCAGCCACACUGGGACUGAGACACGGCCCAGACUCCUUCGGACGGCAGCAGUGGGGAAUAUUGGACAAUGGGCGAAAGCCUGAUCCAGCAAUGCCGCGUGAGUGAUGAAGGCCUUAGGGUUGUAAGGGUCUUUUACCCGGGAUGAUAAUGACAGUACCGGGGGGAUAAGCUCCGGCUAGCUCCGUGCCAGCCACCACCGUAA